UCGAACGCGAAAGUCCCCUUCGGGGGACAAGUAGAGUGGCGCACGGGUGAGUAACACGUAGGUAAUCUACCUUUGGAUGGGGAAUAACAACCGGAAACGGUUGCUAAUACCGCAUAAUGCAGCGGCACCUAAUGGUGACAGUUGUUAAAGCGGGGGAUCGAAAGACCUCGCGUCUGAAGAGGAGCCUGCGGCGGAUUAGCUAGUUGGUAAGGUAAUGGCUUACCAAGGCUACGAUCCGUAACCGGCCUGAGAGGGCGGUCGGUCACACUGACACUGACAUACGGGUCAGACUCCUACGGGAGGCAGCAGUCGGGAAUUUUGGGCAAUGGGCGAAAGCCUGACCCAGCAACGCCGCGUGAAGGAUGAAAUCCCUCGGGAUGUAAACUUCGCAAGAACAGGAAGAAUAAGUAGGGGACAAUACCCCCUAUGAUGACGGUACUGUUUGUAAGCUCCGGCUAACUCCGUGCCAGCAGCCGCGGUAAUACGGGGGGAGCAAGCGUUGUUCGGAUUUACUGGGCGUAAAGGGCGCGUAGGCGGUCAGCACAAGUCAGUUGUGAAAUCUCCGGGCUUAACUCGGAAAGGUCAACUGAUACUGUGCGACUAGAGUGCGGAAGGGGCAACUGGAAUUCUUGGUGUAGCGGUGAAAUGCGUAGAUAUCAAGAGGAACACCUGCGGCGAAGGCGGGUUGCUGGGCCGACACUGACGCUGAGGCGCGAAAGCCAGGGGAGCGAACGGGAUUAGAUACCCCGGUAGUCCUGGCCUUAAACGAUGAAUGCUUGGUGUCUGGGGUUAUAAAGUCCCCGGGUGCCGUCGCUAACGCUUUAAGCAUUCCGCCUGGGGAGUAC
This 845-nucleotide ribosomal RNA is filed under the name uncultured Bacillota bacterium. RNAcentral's name for it is "bacterial SSU rRNA". It matches the Rfam family "Bacterial small subunit ribosomal RNA", at positions 62 to 883 of the family's 1533-position model. The record is from RNAcentral. Lineage: Bacteria; Bacillati; Bacillota.